This 300-nucleotide ribosomal RNA is filed under the name uncultured Enterorhabdus sp. RNAcentral describes it as "bacterial SSU rRNA". It matches the Rfam family "Bacterial small subunit ribosomal RNA", at positions 495 to 794 of the family's 1533-position model. The record is from RNAcentral. Lineage: Bacteria; Bacillati; Actinomycetota; Coriobacteriia; Eggerthellales; Eggerthellaceae.
GUAGAAAUUGGUGCUAGGGGUCGGGGUAAGACGAAGGGUGCGAGCGUUGCACGGAAGUACUGGGCGUAAGGCGUGCGUAGGGGGUCGGUGAAGUCCGUUGUGAAAGCCCUGGGCUCAACCGGGGAACUGCAGUGGAUACUGGGCGACUAGAGUGUGGUAGAGGGUAGCGGAAUUCCUGGUGUAGCAGUGAAAUGCGUAGAGAUCAGGAGGAACAUCCAUGGCGAAGGCAGCUACCUGGACCAACACUGACACUGAGGCACGAAAGCGUGGGGAGCAAACAGGAUUAGAUACCCUGGUAUC